RNAcentral lists this ribosomal RNA (253 nucleotides) under uncultured bacterium. RNAcentral's name for it is "partial 16S ribosomal RNA". It matches the Rfam family "Bacterial small subunit ribosomal RNA", at positions 524 to 776 of the family's 1533-position model. The record is from RNAcentral.
UACAGAGGUCUCAAGCGUUGUUCGGAUUCAUUGGGCGUAAAGGGUGCGUAGGCGGCGCCGUAAGUCAGGUGUGAAAUUUCGGAGCUUAACUCCGAAACUGCAUUUGAUACUGCGGUGCUUGAGGACUGGAGAGGAGACUGGAAUUUACGGUGUAGCAGUAAAAUGCGUAGAGAUCGUAAGGAAGACCAGUGGCGAAGGCGGGUCUCUGGACAGUUCCUGACGCUGAGGCACGAAGGCCAGGGGAGCAAACGGG